This 464-nucleotide ribosomal RNA is filed under the name uncultured Geobacteraceae bacterium. RNAcentral describes it as "partial 16S ribosomal RNA". It matches the Rfam family "Bacterial small subunit ribosomal RNA", at positions 338 to 794 of the family's 1533-position model. The record is from RNAcentral. Lineage: Bacteria; Pseudomonadati; Thermodesulfobacteriota; Desulfuromonadia; Geobacterales; Geobacteraceae.
CCUACGGGAGGCAGCAGUGGGGAAUUUUGCGCAAUGGGGGCAACCCUGACGCAGCAACGCCGCGUGAGUGAUGAAGGCCUUCGGGUCGUAAAGCUCUGUCAGAGGGGAAGAAAUGCAGGUGGUGAACAACCAUUCUGUUUGACGGUACCCUCAAAGGAAGCACCGGCUAACUCCGUGCCAGCAGCCGCGGUAAUACGGAGGGUGCGAGCGUUGUUCGGAAUUAUUGGGCGUAAAGCGCGUGUAGGCGGUUUGUUAAGUCUGAGGUGAAAGCCCCGGGCGAAACCGGGGAAGUGCAUUGGAUACUGGCAGACUUGAGUACGGGAGAGGAGAGUGAAAUUCCCAGUGUAGGAGUGAAAUCCGUAGAUAUUGGGAGGAACGCCGGUGGCGAGGGCGGUUCUCUGGACCGAUAAUGACGCUGAGACGCGAAAGCGGGGGGAGCAAACAGGAUUAGAUACCUUUGUAGU